UUUAUCCAUCUCUGUAUAUAUAGAUAAAAAUUAGUCCCACAAAUACAAAAAAAAAAUAAAUAAAUAAAAAACUACUACAUAUACUAAAAUAAACAAUAAAAAAUAAAUAAAUAAAGAACAACAAACACUUAAUCUAUUCUGGAAUAAAUCAGUUUGAUACAACUUUGAAACUAUGAGGACUACGUAAGUAACUUUUUCUUUUUUUAAAGAAAGUUAUUUUUUCUUUUUUCUCAACCCAGAUCUUCUUCAUGUGGAAAAUGACACAGACCAAUAUGUCGAUUGGAUGAAUGAUUAUUGUUUUGGUGGAAAACUCCAUGAUGAGGGCACGCUGAAAUGACACUUGAGAAGCUCGGUCAAAUUUUUUUUGCAUAAAUUAAGACACGUCAUCAAAUGGGAAGAGAAUAUAAAAGGAAUGCAUGCCCUGUAUGAUGCCUCAUAGUGGUCUUCCUGUCUUGGCGGGUCGUGAUGAGUCAAUUGAAUAAGAUUAAUUAAAUGGAUUAAGUCCAACAUAACCCCCUGAUUAUCUGAUCGUGUUAUGUAUUUACUUAUUAAUUUUUUUUUGUGAGUAUCUAAUUGUGUUAAAACCUUCAAUCUUUAGAUGACUUGGUUAUUGAACGAAUAACCCGGCAUAACCCUGCCUAAUCCAUUCGAUACAAAAGUGGUUUUGGAUUGCCAUGUGUUAAAUUAUUUUAAUUAUAAUGAGAAUAGAGGUUAAAAGUUGUAUUUGAAUUAAUAUCAUUUGUUGUUAUAUCAUCUUAAAUUGUUAAAUUAUAAAUUAACUUACAAAUUUAAGCAGAUAACAAAAAAUAAAUUUAAUUAUUUAACCAUAUAAAUUGAACUAGAAUUAGUUUCAACUUAAUCAAUAAAGAUGUCCCAUCUGUUUUUUUUUUCUAUUCGAGAUGUCCCAUCUGGUUGAUUCAAAAGAUUUGAUACAAAAUUGACUUGAUUGGCAUAAAUUAAUAAUUGAUAAGCAUAUGAAUAAUAAAAAUUAUAUGUAAAUAAAUUCCCUAACAAAUUCUUUUGAUGAAAAUUUAACCAAAAGUGUCAACCUAUUGCGAUUAUAUCCAAUUCAAACUAAUUGCUGGUUAGAAAAGUUAACCUGGUUUUUAUUCAUUAAAUAAUGAGAUGUUAUUUUUUUACACAUAUUUAGUUCAUUUAUUUUGUAAAUUUAUUAUUGAACUCGUAUAAUUUACAUGUAGAUUACAUAAAUUUAAUGACAAAUUUGCACAUCGAUCUCUUAUAUGAAAAAUAACAUGAGAUGUACAAAAUAAUAAAAGCAAAUAUUUCUCUUUAUAAUAGUGUGUAAAUUAUAGUUGAUAAUUUUUUACAUGACUCGAAAAUUUAAUACGGAUCCAACACAAAAUUAGUGAGUUAGGAUUAAGGGUUUGACCCGUUUAAUUAAAUUGGUGGGGUUAGGGUUUACCUAUACAAUUUUAUAUCUAUAUUUUGACACGAUUCGAACCCGACACACUACAUAAGGGUUGUUAAUUUUUGAUACAACUCGUGAACCCAACAUAAAAUUAACGGGUUAAGGUUGAGGGAUCUAACUUGUUUAAUUAAAUAAAUUAAAUUAUGACUGACUUAUAUAAUUUUAUACACAUACUUUAAUAUAGCUCAAAUAUUACACAUGACCACAAAUUUUCAUCGGUUGUGUAUAUAUAUGGAUUAAUAACUCGCUUUCAGUGAAAAAAGACUCUUAAACUAAUCAAACACCUAGAAUCUUGGAGUUGUGUUCAUAGUCAUAUCAAGCGUUGUCAUUCCCAUAUAAGCUUACAAAAAAAAAAGAAGCAUAUUCAUUCCCAUCAAAACACAUCAUUGUUUGGCCCUUGGGCAUCACGUGCAGAUCAAUGAGAUAUUUUCCCUGUUUCAUGGGAGCUUUUCUUUGUUCUUGGGUUCUUGAUACAACUUACGAGUUUUUCUUUGGUCUUGCGUUUCUUGACAGGACUUGGGAGCCAUUUUGACAUAUUUGUUCGUUUUCUUCGCUGCCCCCUCCCUCAGCAAAAAUGGAAAAGAAAAGAAAAGAAAAGAUCAAAUAUAUAUAUAUGUGUCACAAGUUGCUGACAUGUCUUACGAAAAUCCGUCUGAUCAUGCAAGAAGGGUGAGGUCGUCCGCACCAUAACUGGAUCACUCUUUAUGCAAUACAGGUGGAGAAAGUGGGGGACAUAAGUGGAGGGUACGGAUUGUCUGUUUGUGCCGUGGUGAGUUGGAUUUGUUUGAAAGGGGUGCAAAAAUAAGUUAAAUAAUGGCGGUUGUUAAGCACGGCUGACAUCAACUGCAAUGCUAGCUCGAGCCUCGAGGAGAGUUAGCCUUGGCCCUUGGGUCUGCAGUCUAACUCACGCACGCCAGCGCCACCCAUUUGAGCACUGAUUGGCAACAUCCUGGGAUGUUGCUACAGUGCAACAUCCCAGGACACAUGAACAGUGUUUUUACUGUUCAUGUGGCCCCCACAUGAACAGUGAUUUCACUGUUCAUGUGUCCUACAUGAACAGUGAUUUCACUGUUCAUGUGUCCUGGGAUGUUGCACUGAAUCAU
Molecule: non-coding RNA, 2532 nt
Filed under: Betula luminifera
Lineage: Eukaryota; Viridiplantae; Streptophyta; Magnoliopsida; Fagales; Betulaceae
Source: RNAcentral